GCGUAGGCGGUUCUAUAAGUCAGUGGUGAAAUACGGCAGCUCAACUGUCGAGGUGCCAUUGAUACUGUAGAACUUGAGUACAGACGAGGUAGGCGGAAUUGACGGUGUAGCGGUGAAAUGCUUAGAUAUCGUCAAGAACACCGAUAGCGAAGGCAGCUUACUAGACUGUAACUGACGCUGAGGCACGAAAGUGUGGGGAUCAAACAGGAUUAGAUACCCUGGUAGUCCACACUGUAAACGAUGAUUACUCGAUGUUGGCGAUACACAGCCAGCGUCUUAGCGAAAGCGAUAAGUAAUCCACCUGGGGAGUACGCCGGCAACGGUGAAACUCAAAGGAAUUGA
This 342-nucleotide ribosomal RNA is filed under the name uncultured bacterium. Its description in RNAcentral is "bacterial SSU rRNA". It matches the Rfam family "Bacterial small subunit ribosomal RNA", at positions 569 to 913 of the family's 1533-position model. The record is from RNAcentral.